RNAcentral lists this microRNA precursor (96 nucleotides) under Notechis scutatus (mainland tiger snake). RNAcentral describes it as "miRNA (ENSNSUG00000020508.1)". It matches the Rfam family "mir-3618 microRNA precursor family". The record is from RNAcentral. RNAcentral also lists the same sequence under 3 other names. Lineage: Eukaryota; Metazoa; Chordata; Lepidosauria; Squamata; Elapidae.
UAUUUAAGCUGAAUGCAUUGUGAUUUCCAGUAAUUGAGACAGUGAUUCUGAAAGCUGUCCACAUUAAUGAAAAGAGCAAUGUAGUCAGCUUAACUG